AUACGGAGGGGGCUAGCGUUGUUCGGAAUUACUGGGCGUAAAGCGCACGUAGGCGGACUGAUCAGUUGGGGGUGAAAUCCCAGGGCUCAACCCUGGAACUGCCUCCAAUACUGUCAGUCUUGAGAUCGGAAGAGGUGAGUGGAAUUCCUAGUGUAGAGGUGAAAUUCGUAGAUAUUAGGAGGAACACCAGUGGCGAAGGCGGCUCACUGGCCCGGUACUGACGCUGAGGUGCGAAAGCGUGGGGAGCAAACAGGAUUAGAAACCCUAGUAGUCC
Molecule: ribosomal RNA, 274 nt
Filed under: uncultured bacterium
Lineage: Bacteria
Description: partial 16S ribosomal RNA
Rfam family: Bacterial small subunit ribosomal RNA
Source: RNAcentral